This 1638-nucleotide ribosomal RNA is filed under the name Triticum aestivum (bread wheat). Its description in RNAcentral is "partial small subunit ribosomal RNA". The record is from RNAcentral. Lineage: Eukaryota; Viridiplantae; Streptophyta; Magnoliopsida; Poales; Poaceae.
AUGGCGGAGCCCUUCCCCACCAGCAACCCGAGAGAUCUCAGAAUCAUAGCCCAUGUGCUCUUUGGUCUUCCCCGACUGCCAGGCGGUGGAGGAGGCGCGGUGCGCGAUCGAGAGGCUCGUCGCCCUGGCGGUGGUGUGGAGGGCAGGGGCGACGCGCCGCCGGGGAGCGACCACGGGGUCACAGGAGAUGCCGUCACAUCCAGUGUCCCUUCCGUACCAGAGGCGGCCCGUGGCCCCGAUCUGGAGGGCCUCGCCGGCCGAGGAGCAGCUAAAGGGCUUCCAUCAGAGGCACGUCGCCGCGGUCGCGUGGAGGGCAGGGGCGCCGCGCCGCUGGGGAGCGACCACCGGGUCACAGGAGAGGCCGUCACAUCCAGUGCCCCUCCCGUAUCUGAGGCGGCCCGUGGCGACGAUCUGGAGGGCCUCGCCGGCCAAGGAGCAGGCGUAGGCGAAGACUUCUCCUCCUGCAGCAGUAUGAGAGGACCGGGUCCCCAAGAGGAGGCUCCUGCCCCAACAGCUAGAGUCGGAUUGGAUCCUGGAUCCUGCAGCCAGGAAGAAAUGGGGGGUGGAGAGGAUCUUGUGUCUCAGAAUCUGGUCCACGAUCUCACUCUUGUCAGCACCAACAAUGUUACCGCGGCUCUCAGUAAGACCAGCUCUCCAGUUUCUCACUUCAGAAUCGACUCCAUUCUGUUUGUCACUGAGCAGUUAGACGAUUGGUUUAAGUUGCUGGUGACCAAGAAGGUCAAAGAAGUUGUAGUGGUAAAUCGCAGAUGGCCCAAGACAGUGGUUGAUUUCCCAAUCAACGGCUUAGACAACACUGGAGUCCAGCAGUUGAGCAUAUGUUUCUGCAAGAUUCCGGAUGCAUUGGUGUAUGACAUGGACACGCUGUUGGUGCUCGACCUAUCCCAUUGCUACAUCAGCAAAGAAACUCUUCAUGAUAUGGUUUACAGAUGUAAAAAAUUGAGAGAGAUACAUCUGGGUUAUCACAAGGAAUCUGUUCUUGUUUCUUCAGGAACUCUGCAAUUGAUACAGGUCUGGUUCUCGCAAAUGGAUUUAAUAGAGGUCCGGGCACCUCUACUCCAAAAAAUCACAGUGUCAGCUGUGCCAAAGGGCAAGGAUAAGCUCAGAGCACGCCUUCAGGGAUGUUCAGAACUACAUACUCUAGUUGGCAAUAUAUCUGCUCAGGCGAUUCUGAUAGAAGGCCAUGAUAUAAGAAUGGGGACCAAGUUGAUGACCACAUUGAAGAAUCUCCAUAUUGGUGUAUCCCUGUCCAAAGAAAAAGAACGAAAGCACCUCUUAAAUAUCUUCAAAUACUUCCCCUAUCUUGAGAAGUUAACACUAUGGCGCAUGGACGAUAUAUCAAGCGAUGAAGCCGUGGAGGCUGCAAUUGAUGACUGGGCAGAUGAACUCAGGGCAUUUGAGAUCAUGCGCCAUCUCUGUUUGUUGAAGUUUCAAGGAUUUAAAGGCAGAGACUUUGAAGUUUGUAUUGUUGAAGCAUUUCUCAAGCUUUCCACGUCGCUUAGGGACCUUGUAAUUGAAUCUGACACGGAAGAUACGUUCGAGAGGGCGAAAAGUGCUUUUAAGCCGCCAAGUCAAGUAAAUGUCUCGUACCAGAAGUCAAACGUUGCUGCAUUGGAAUAA